GUCGAACGAUUAAAGCUCUCUUCGGAGAGUGCAUAGAGUGGCGCACGGGUGAGUAACACGUAAGUAAUCUACCUUCGAGUGGGGAAUAACGUCCGGAAACGGACGCUAAUACCGCAUAAUGCAGCGGCAUCGUAAGAUGACAGUUGUUAAAGAUUUAUCGCUUGAAGAGGAGCUUGCGGCAGAUUAGCUAGUUGGUAAGGUAAUGGCUUACCAAGGCCACGAUCUGUAACCGGUCUUAGAGGACGGUCGGUCACACUGACACUGAAUAACGGGUCAGACUCCUACGGGAGGCAGCAGUCGGGAAUUUUGGGCAAUGGGCGAAAGCCUGACCCAGCAACGCCGCGUGAAGGAUGAAGUAUUUCGGUAUGUAAACUUCGAAAGAAUAGGAAGAAUAAAUGACGGUACUAUUUAUAAGGUCCGGCUAACUACGUGCCAGCAGCCGCGGUAAUACGUAGGGACCAAGCGUUGUUCGGAUUUACUGGGCGUAAAGGGCGCGUAGGCGGCUUUGUAAGUCACUUGUGAAAUCUCUGAGCUUAACUCAGAACGGCCAAGUGAUACUGCAAUGCUAGAGUGCAGAAGGGGCAAUCGGAAUUCUUGGUGUAGCGGUGAAAUGCGUAGAUAUCAAGAGGAACACCUGAGGUGAAGACGGGUUGCUGGGCUGACACUGACGCUGAGGCGCGAAAGCCAGGGGAGCAAACGGGAUUAGAUACCCCGGUAGUCCUGGCCCUAAACGAUGAAUACUUGGUGUCUGGAGUAAUUUGUGCUCCGGAUGCCGUCGCUAACGUUUUUAGUAUUCCGCCUGGGGAGUACGCUCGCA
Molecule: ribosomal RNA, 817 nt
Filed under: uncultured bacterium
Lineage: Bacteria
Description: bacterial SSU rRNA
Rfam family: Bacterial small subunit ribosomal RNA
Source: RNAcentral